Molecule: unclassified non-coding RNA, 19 nt
Filed under: Chlamydomonas reinhardtii
Lineage: Eukaryota; Viridiplantae; Chlorophyta; Chlorophyceae; Chlamydomonadales; Chlamydomonadaceae
Description: small RNA Cre_1568
Source: RNAcentral
GAAGUCUGUGGCUCCAUAC